This 483-nucleotide ribosomal RNA is filed under the name uncultured bacterium. RNAcentral describes it as "partial 16S ribosomal RNA". It matches the Rfam family "Bacterial small subunit ribosomal RNA", at positions 28 to 523 of the family's 1533-position model. The record is from RNAcentral.
GAUGAACGCUGGCGGCGUGCCUAAUACAUGCAAGUCGAGCGAACCACUUCGGUGGUGAGCGGCGAACGGGUGAGUAACACGUAGGUGAUCUGCCCAUCAGACGGGGACAACGAUUGGAAACGAUCGCUAAUACCGGAUAGGACGAAAGUUUAAAGGUGCUUCUGGCACCGCUGAUGGAUGAGCCUGCGGCGCACUAGCUAGUUGGUAGGGUAAAGGCCUACCAAGGCGACGAUGCGUAGCCGACCUGAGAGGGUGAACGGCCACACUGGGACCGAGACACGGCCCAGACUCCUACGGGAGGCAGCAGUAGGGAAUCUUCGGCAAUGGGCGAAAGCCUGACCGAGCAACGCCGCGUGAAUGAUGAAGGCCUUCGGGUUGUAAAAUUCUGUUAUAAGGGAAGAACGACUUUAGUAGGAAAUGGCUAGAGUGUGACGGUACCUUAUGAGAAAGCCACGGCUAACUACGUGCCAGCAGCCGCCGUAA